Molecule: long non-coding RNA, 297 nt
Filed under: Ananas comosus (pineapple)
Lineage: Eukaryota; Viridiplantae; Streptophyta; Magnoliopsida; Poales; Bromeliaceae
Description: long non-coding RNA (ACOM_LNC005121)
Source: RNAcentral
CUCGAAUUGCUCUUGAUAUUCUUCCACCGUCCCUUGUUGUGACAACUUAUUGAAUUCCUCGACAACAUCGGUUAACCCGUUUGCAUCAAAUCGAUGACAAACCUCUUGCACAAAUAUUUCCCAAUUAACUACUCCUUUUUCUGCAAGAAACCCAUGGAACCAUAUGUCGACCUUCGGUUCUAAAUGCAUACAUGCUAAUUCCAGUUUCUGAUGCUCUCUAAUUCCAUAGAUAUCAAAAUAUUUCUCACAUUUCCGAACCCAGCUUCUGGGAUUGCUCCCGCUAAAUAUCGGAAACUC